RNAcentral lists this ribosomal RNA (465 nucleotides) under uncultured bacterium. RNAcentral's name for it is "partial 16S ribosomal RNA". It matches the Rfam family "Bacterial small subunit ribosomal RNA", at positions 28 to 507 of the family's 1533-position model. The record is from RNAcentral.
GACGAACGCUGGCGGCGUGCUUAACACAUGCAAGUCGUACGGUAAGGCCCUUUCGGGGGUACACGAGUGGCGAACGGGUGAGUAACACGUGAGUAGCCUGCCCACAACUUUGGGAUAACGCUAGGAAACUGGUGCUAAUACUGGAUAUGUGCUCCUGCUGCAUGGUGGGGGUUGGAAAGCUCCGGCGGUUGUGGAUGGACUCGCGGCCUAUCAGCUUGUUGGUGGGGUAGUGGCCUACCAAGGCGGCGACGGGUAGCCGGCCUGAGAGGGUGGCCGGCCACAUUGGGACUGAGAUACGGCCCAGACUCCUACGGGAGGCAGCAGUGGGGAAUAUUGCACAAUGGGCGCAAGCCUGAUGCAGCAACGCCGCGUGCGGGAUGACGGCCUUCGGGUUGUAAACCGCUUUCAGCAGGGACGAAGCUUCUUGUGACGGUACCUGCAGAAGAAGCACCGGCUAACUACGUG